AACGAACGCUGGCGGCAGGCCUAACACAUGCAAGUCGAACGCCCGUAGCAAUACGGGAGUGGCAGACGGGUGAGUAACACGUGGGAACGUACCCCAAGGUACGGAACAACUCCGGGAAACUGGAGCUAAUACCGUAUGUGCCCGAAAGGGGAAAGAUUUAUCGCCUUGGGAUCGGCCCGCGUCUGAUUAGCUAGUUGGUGGGGUAAUGGCCCACCAAGGCUACGAUCAGUAGCUGGUCUGAGAGGAUGAUCAGCCACACUGGGACUGAGACACGGCCCAGACUCCUACGGGAGGCUG
RNAcentral lists this ribosomal RNA (297 nucleotides) under uncultured Pseudomonadota bacterium. Its description in RNAcentral is "uncultured proteobacterium partial 16S ribosomal RNA". It matches the Rfam family "Bacterial small subunit ribosomal RNA", at positions 29 to 351 of the family's 1533-position model. The record is from RNAcentral. Lineage: Bacteria; Pseudomonadati; Pseudomonadota.